Molecule: ribosomal RNA, 253 nt
Filed under: uncultured prokaryote
Description: partial 16S ribosomal RNA
Rfam family: Bacterial small subunit ribosomal RNA
Source: RNAcentral
GACAGAGGUGCCGAGCGUUAGGCGGAAUCACUGGGCUUAAAGCGUGUGUAGGCGGGCCGUUAAGUACCUUGUGAAAUCCCCCGGCUCAACCGGGGAACGGCUGGGUAUACUGGCGGUCUUGAGCCAUCCAGGGGCAGUCGGAACAGACGGUGGAGCGGUGAAAUGCGUAGAUAUCGUCUGGAACGCCGAAGGUGAAAACAGACUGCUGGGGAUGAGCUGACGCUGAGACACGAAAGCCAGGGGAGCGAACGGG